UAUUGGCUUAGUUAGGAGGCAAAGAUUAAUGGACCAAUUAUUGGUCUUCUUAGGGCUUUUGAGGGGACUCUUGGUUUUCGAUUGAUAGUCCUCCAAGCAGCCUUAGGACAUAA
Corylus avellana is the source of this 113-nucleotide small nucleolar RNA. RefSeq annotates it as small nucleolar RNA U19. NCBI's taxonomy places the organism in Eukaryota, Viridiplantae, Streptophyta, Magnoliopsida, Fagales, Betulaceae. The record is from RefSeq and is a predicted model, not a curated record.